GACGGUUGUUGUUUGCACGGGUGGACAAUAAGGCAAAAUCUCGAUCUGGAAGUUAUUGUAAUUACUUCAUUGAUUGACAUGUAUGCAAAAUGCCAUCGUGUGGACCUUAGCUUUGGAGUCUUCACAAGAACUUCAACAAAUAGAACAGCUCCAUGGAAUGCAAUGCUCUCUGGGUGCAUUCAUAACGGUCUUGCAACUGAGGCGAUAGGACUUUUCAAGCAAAUGCUAGUAAAAGGAGUUGAACCAGAUGGUGCAACAAUGAACAGUCUACUUCCAGCAUAUGCCAUUCUUGCUGAUUUGCAGCCAUCGAAGAAC
RNAcentral lists this unclassified non-coding RNA (315 nucleotides) under Hevea brasiliensis (rubber tree). The record is from RNAcentral. Lineage: Eukaryota; Viridiplantae; Streptophyta; Magnoliopsida; Malpighiales; Euphorbiaceae.